AGAGUUUGAUCAUGGCUCAGAACGAACGCUGGCGGCGUGCUUAACACAUGCAAGUCGAACGAGAAAGUUCCUUCGGGAACGAGUAAAGUGGCGCACGGGUGAGUAACGCGUAGAUAACCUGUCCAGGUGUAUGGGAUAGCCCUUCGAAAGGGGGAUUAAUACCGUAUACGUUGGUCUUCUUUAAGGAGGAUCAAGAAAGGUGGCCUCUAUUUAUAAGCUAUCGCAUUUGGAGGGGUCUGUGUACCAUUAGUUUGUUGGUGGGGUAAUGGCCUACCAAGACUUCGAUGGUUAGCGGGUCUGAGAGGAUGAUCCGUCACACUGGCACUGAAACACGGGCCAGACUCCUACGGGAGGCAGCAGUGAGGAAUAUUGCGCAAUGGGGGAAACCCUGACGCAGCGACGCCGCGUGGGUGAGGAAGGCUUUCGGGUCGUAAAGCCCUGUCAGAAGGGAAGAAAUGUUUACAGGAUAAUACCCUGUAGAUUUGACGGUACCUUCAAAGGAAGCACCGGCUAACUCCGUGCCAGCAGCCGCGGUAAUACGGAGGGUGCAAGCGUUGUUCGGAAUCACUGGGCGUAAAGGGCGCGCAGGCGGUUUGAUUAGUCAGAUGUGAAAGCCCACGGCUUAACCGUGGAAGUGCAUUUGAAACUGUCAGACUUGAGUACCAGAGGGGGUUGUGGAAUUCCCGGUGUAGAGGUGAAAUUCGUAGAUAUCGGGAGGAAUACCGGUGGCGAAGGCGACAACCUGGCUGGAUACUGACGCUGAGGCGCGAAAGCGUGGGGAGCAAACAGGAUUAGAUA
Molecule: ribosomal RNA, 798 nt
Filed under: uncultured bacterium
Lineage: Bacteria
Description: bacterial SSU rRNA
Rfam family: Bacterial small subunit ribosomal RNA
Source: RNAcentral